This 404-nucleotide ribosomal RNA is filed under the name Bacillota bacterium. RNAcentral describes it as "Firmicutes bacterium partial 16S ribosomal RNA". It matches the Rfam family "Bacterial small subunit ribosomal RNA", at positions 355 to 776 of the family's 1533-position model. The record is from RNAcentral. Lineage: Bacteria; Bacillati; Bacillota.
UGGGGAAUAUUGGACAAUGGGCGCAAGCCUGAUCCAGCCAUGCCGCGUGAGUGAUGAAGGCCUUAGGGUUGUAAAGCUCUUUCACUGGGGAAGAUAAUGACGGUACCCAGAGAAGAAGCCCCGGCUAACUUCGUGCCAGCAGCCGCGGUAAUACGACGGGGGCUAGCGUUGUUCGGAAUCACUGGGCGUAAAGCGCACGUAGGCGGACUUUUAAGUCAGGGGUGAAAUCCCAAGGCUCAACCUUGGAACUGCCUUUGAUACUGGAAGUCUUGAGUUCGGGAGAGGGGAGUGCAACUGCGAGUGUAGAGGUGAAAUUCGUAGAUAUUCGCAAGAACACCAGUGGCGAAGGCGGCUCACUGGCCCGAUACUGACGCUUAGGUGCGAAAGCGUGGGGGGCAAACAGG